Molecule: non-coding RNA, 974 nt
Organism: Punica granatum (pomegranate)
Lineage: Eukaryota; Viridiplantae; Streptophyta; Magnoliopsida; Myrtales; Lythraceae
Source: RefSeq, a predicted model, not a curated record
CUAAUUGAUGUCUUUUACCUUGUAUAUACUUUGUUGUAGCUUUUAACCUACAUUUCUUCCUGCAUGACUGACAGCCUCCAAAAUAUCUAAAUCUAAAGCCUAUAAUAACGAUGAUUGUCGUGGGUCAUCUACGAUUAUUAUGAUGUAGUAAUUACUCAUAGUAAUUUGCUCGAUUUGCUUGUUGCUCUUGGUUGAUUUGCUUACUGCUCUUGCCUGAAGGUAGUAAUUACGCGUACUGAUCCUUGUGAGAAAUUAUUUCGGAGCUUGGUGUGGCUCAUGAUCUUGCAGGUGAAGUUUGAUGGCCUAUCUAUGACCUGAAGAGCAGAGCUAAUGAUUGGCUCAUUUUUAAGCUUGUUUGCUUGCUUAGAAUGCUUAAGUUAUUGAUGUUGAUAUUCCUUUACUUCUGCUCACUUGUGCUAUAGUUGAGCUGCGGUGGAUCUCCCUCCCAAAUUUGGCUGUCAUGCAUAAACAAAACCUUAGCGUUUGCUCCGUCUCACACCCUCCUAUAUAUGCUCCCGUAUUUCAUGCACAUUUUCAUUUGCUUACCAAUAUGUAUGGUUUAGCUUUUCAGGUAGAUGCUGAGAAGCAGGAGCUAUAAUUACUGUCAAAGCCCACCAGUUAAUCCGGGCAUUGUGAGAUUGAAACACGAAGGAAGAACUGUCCAAAACUGACAAGAUUCACUUCUUAUUGGAAUGUCCCUGAAGACACGUUUCCCUGCCUCUCCGCUCGGUGGCCUUCUGAAGGUUUAAGUUGUAACUGCAUCUUGGGAGCUCGACCAUUGAACAACUCAGAAAUCGUGUUUAUGUAUUACUGGUCCCUAUUUUUCGAUCUUUUGCCGAGGGUUCUGUCUAUUAUACCGAAUCCGUUGCCAAUGUCACACUCCUGUUGCUUAUAGGCCAAAAAGUACAUCGAUGUUAUCCUUGAACAAUAUUUCACUUAAUUACCUCAAGUCACUCUCUUCUUUCUGUGACCAA